This 66-nucleotide transfer RNA is filed under the name Xorides funiuensis. Its description in RNAcentral is "tRNA-Met". The record is from RNAcentral. Lineage: Eukaryota; Metazoa; Arthropoda; Insecta; Hymenoptera; Ichneumonidae.
AUAAAAAUAAGCUAAAUAAAGCUUUUAGGUUCAUACCCUAAAUAUAGAAAUUAAAUCUUUUUUAUA